GACGAACGCUGGCGGCGUGCUUAACACAUGCAAGUGGAGCGACGAACCGGGGCUUGCCCCGGGGCAGAGCCGCGAACGGGUGAGUAACACGUGGGUAACGUGCCCCGAUGACCGGGACAACCCGAGGAAACUCGGGCUAAUACCGGAUGAGCCCUCUCGCCACAAGGCGAGCGGGGAAAGGUAGCUUCGGCUUCCGCAUCGGGAGCGGCCCGCGGCCCAUUAGCUUGUUGGUGAGGUAACGGCUCACCAAGGCUCCGAUGGGUAGCUGGUCUGAGAG
This 277-nucleotide ribosomal RNA is filed under the name uncultured bacterium. RNAcentral's name for it is "partial 16S ribosomal RNA". It matches the Rfam family "Bacterial small subunit ribosomal RNA", at positions 28 to 298 of the family's 1533-position model. The record is from RNAcentral.